UACGUAGGGGGCAAGCGUUGUCCGGAAUCAUUGGGCGUAAAGAGCGUGUAGGCGGCCAGAUAAGUCCGCUGUGAAAUCUCGAGGCUCAACUUCGAGCUGUCGGUGGAAACUGUCUGGCUAGAGUCCGGAAGAGGAGAAUGGAAUUCCCGGUGUAGAGGUGAAAUUCGUAGAUAUUGGGAAGAACACCGGUGGCGAAGGCGGCGACCUGGUCCGAUACUGACGCUGAGGCGCGAAAGCGUGGGGAGCAAACAGG
RNAcentral lists this ribosomal RNA (253 nucleotides) under uncultured bacterium. RNAcentral's name for it is "partial 16S ribosomal RNA". It matches the Rfam family "Bacterial small subunit ribosomal RNA", at positions 524 to 776 of the family's 1533-position model. The record is from RNAcentral.